CUUCCUCACUGUUCAAUUUUGGUAUUCAAUGCUACAGCAUCUUUUCAGCCUUACACAAGUUUAGCAAUUUCUUUGUGAUUAUGGAUCAUUAAAAGCAGUGUUCAUUCAUAAAAAAUAAGCACUUAACAUUUUGCAAUCUCUAAAUAUACUUCAGUGAAAUAUACAGCAUCCUUUUUGGCCCCCAAAGACUAUAAAAGCAUCUUCACUCACAGAUAUUUAAAAGAAGGGCUAAAAAUAUUCAAGAAAAUUACAGUGCUUUAAGUGUUAAAAAGUAAAACACAUUUCAGCAUGCAAACGAACAAGAGUUUCACUCCAAAAUGCUUCGCUCCUGUGUCAAGGGACAUAAACACAUGGUGUGAACAAGUGGCAAUGUUUAGGGAAAUACUGCAAAACUAAAUCUUUUCCAUGUAGGCCAAAAUGACUUAUCAGCCAAGCUACUGGAUCAGGCAACUAUUUUUCUAUAUCAUAUUUUUAUGAAUGUGAGGAACUUAUAAACUCAAGGGCAGAACAAAUGCAGACACUAGCACUUAACCUAGGCAAACAGAAACAUGGAAGGAAGCAUCAUGGGAGGUGAAUAGGUUAGGCUUUCUUUCUUCUGUCAUCCCCUUACCAUUUGGAUGUUUCCAUCCUCCAUUCUGAGAAAUUAUGUGUUCCCCUGCAAUGAAGAGAGGUUUCGUCUCCUUUCAGCUAUCACAUUCACCUCGUUCAGAAGGUUUGCUUUGCCCAAAUCCUUUGACAGGGAGUGAGUGAAAUCUCAGCCCCAUUGAAGUCAGUGGGAAAUUUGCCAUUCACUAUAAGGGAGCCAGGAUUUUGCACAACGUUUAUAUCAGUAGAAGACCAGACUGAAUCUAGUGCAGUGUUUGUGAAGUGCUUUGAAGUAGAGAGUGUUACAGCACUGAAAUUAUUGCUAUUAUUAUUAUUGCUGCUUAGUGCACGACAGAGAAGAAAGGAAGAAAACCUCUGAAUGAACUGGAAGGAAAUACUGAUUCUGCAGAUCUUAGAGAUUCCUCAUGUUUCCAGUUUUGUCUGAGAGGCCUGUAGGUUAGCACACAGGAGAUUAACCUUGGCAAGCUGCACCACUGGGCUGACUGAGGAGGAAUUCUCACUGCAGCUGUCUGAACCAACAACACAUAAGGUCUGGGGCUGAGGAAGUUCUCAUCAGACAGAAGCAGAAAAAAAAAAAGAAGCAUGAGACAUCAGCGAACCAAGUCCCUGUACCUCUCUGAGAAGAUUACAUGGGAAUUCAAAUGUCCUAGAAUAAUUCACAGAUUCCUGAGUUCACAUGAGCAGCAGCAAAAGAGGAAAAUUGCUCCAUAUCCUGUAGAGAGGAAAUGAAAGGUAUCAGGAAGAGAAGAAUGUGCUGUGUGGUGCGAAAAUUCUGUUUUGAUUCCUGAUGCUAAACAUCUGCCUGUGUGUGUGUGUGUCUGUGUACAGAGUCACUUGACUUAGUGAGAGAAAAGCAUCUUCAAGAUUGUGCAAAGCCUAUUCCAGACCCAAGCUGUCUGAAUUGGCAGCUGUGGGAACACCCACAGGAAGCAUGGGACCCUGGAAGAAAAAGUGUAGGAGUGCAUCCUGUGGGGAUAGAUAAAAGUCAGAGCCGGGCUAUGGGAACCUCUUCAGAACAAACAUGCAAAUACGGUUUCGCAAGUCAAAGUCUCAACUGUUUGUUUAGGGAUUUUUUUGCUAUUUGUUGCUUUUAUUUGGCUUUCACAGAACAGAAAAAGGAUCUCAGAAAAAAAAAUAUGAAUGAAAUCUAAACCUUAGAUGUUUUCUUUAUUGCUUGGUGCGAACUCAUAUUCUUCGUCUGCGGCACCACAACUUGUUUUUAUACCUUGCGGUGGAGGAACAUCAUAGUUCACCUACUUCUUCUUCCACUGAGUUUGCUACUCACUUCACACACAACUAAUGAGCAGUGCUAGUGCAAAGCUGCCCAUAAUUUUUGCACCGUUGCUGUCUUGCUGAGAAAUACCUCCUCUCAUCUGUAUGAAAUAUUACAAUUCCCAGCUUUGAAAUUGUUAGUGCAGAAGAGUAACAGUGGAAAAGAACUUCACCCAUGUAUUUAUUAAUGGAUGUUCCCAACAGCUGAACUCAAGCAGAAAUCAGUGUCCUACCAAUGGCUUCCCAUGAAUAUCAACAGGUGACUCAGACUGUCUGCCAUAAGAACACAUGGGCCCUUGUAUUCCCACCAUCUCUGUAAUAUACUCAUCUUUCUAUCUCUCUUACCUUUAUGUGCCCUGCUGAAUAAAGCUAGAUGGAUUUAUUUUUAUCUUACCUAGAUGACAUUUUCAUUUAAUACUGGUGUCUGGCAAUCUUCUCAGUCUUUCAGCCAACUGUCUGCUAUCCGUACUUGUAAUAUCCUGCAACACCGGUGCCCAGAGAUCGAUUGCACGUUGUGUCAAUUAUUCUUUUUUCUUUUCGUGUCUGAGCAUUUCCAAUUCUUAGAUCACUAGGAAGAUUGAAAAUAAG
This is a long non-coding RNA of Gallus gallus (chicken), 2466 nucleotides long. The record is from Ensembl. NCBI's taxonomy places the organism in Eukaryota, Metazoa, Chordata, Aves, Galliformes, Phasianidae.